This 386-nucleotide ribosomal RNA is filed under the name uncultured eukaryote. RNAcentral's name for it is "partial 18S ribosomal RNA". It matches the Rfam family "Eukaryotic small subunit ribosomal RNA", at positions 592 to 976 of the family's 1831-position model. The record is from RNAcentral.
CAAUAGCGUAUAUUAUUGAUGUUGCAGUUGAAACGUUCGUAGUCGAACUUUAUGUGCUUGGAUACUAUAACAUCUUUGAUGUGAUAGUGUCAAAGAUGUUAUAGUGUUUUCAGCACAGAUCAUGCAAACCAACACCAUAUGUUUCAUAUGGUUGUUUGAUUUGCAUCUUACUUUGAGUGAAUCGGCGUGUUCCACGCAGGCAUGUGCCUUGAACGAUUUACCAUAGCAUAAAUAGAGUAUGGAAGUAUUUGUUUGCUUCUUCACGGAUAUUUCUGAUACUGACAAGAACGGUUGAGGGCAUUCGUAUUCAACUGCUAGAGGUGAAAUUCUUUGAUUAGUUGAGGACGAACUAUUGCGAAAGCAUCUGCCAUGGACGUUUCUUUUGA